GGGGAUGUAGCUCAGUUGGGAGAGCACCUGCCUUGCACGCAGGGGGUCGGCGGUUCGAGCCCGCUCAUCUCCACCA
Molecule: transfer RNA, 76 nt
Filed under: Acidobacteriota bacterium
Lineage: Bacteria; Pseudomonadati; Acidobacteriota
Also listed under: 2 other names
Description: tRNA-Ala
Rfam family: tRNA
About the family: Transfer RNA (tRNA) molecules are approximately 80 nucleotides in length. Their secondary structure includes four short double-helical elements and three loops (D, anti-codon, and T loops).
Source: RNAcentral